UACGGAGGGUGCAAACGUUGCUCGGAAUUACUGGGCGUAAAGGGAGCGCAGGCGGUAGAUUAAGUCAGAUGUGAAAGCCCGGAGCUCAACUCCGGAACUGCAUUUGAAACUGGUCAACUAGAGUUUGUCAGGGGAGAGUGGAAUUCCUGGUGUAGCGGUGAAAUGCGUUGAUAUCAGGAGGAACACCAGUGGCGAAGACGGCCCCCUGGAUCGAUACUGACGCUAAGGUGCGAAAGCGUGGGGAGCAAAC
Molecule: ribosomal RNA, 250 nt
Filed under: uncultured bacterium
Lineage: Bacteria
Description: partial 16S ribosomal RNA
Rfam family: Bacterial small subunit ribosomal RNA
Source: RNAcentral